Long non-coding RNA from Cervus elaphus (red deer), 564 nucleotides. RefSeq lists it as uncharacterized. The record is from RefSeq and is a predicted model, not a curated record. The transcript has 3 exons. Lineage: Eukaryota; Metazoa; Chordata; Mammalia; Artiodactyla; Cervidae.
UCAUCAUAUAGAGUUGGACAUCAUAAUGACAGUUAAUAAAAUGAAAUUCUAAUUAUGUUUUCCUUUUCAUUGCUAAGUUUUUCUUAAGGAAAAGAACUUUCAGAAGGUAAGCAAGAAAAACACUUGAGUGCCAGGAAAUGAGAACAUAUUCAGCAAAAUGAACACCUUGAUAUAAAUGAUACCCAAACAGUCUUUCCUGGCUUUCAUGUGAUCUAUUAUGAGAGAUCUGACUGGCAGCUAUUUCCACAAUUAAUUGAUCCUGGAAAAUUUGGCAAGCUUUACUCUUCUCCAGUUCAAGAAUUGGACAACUGCUCACUUUUAUCCACGUUUUCCAUCCAGCCCUGGAGCCAGGUGACCUGACCUAUAUGAACUGCUUCAAGAGUUUCGUUUGCCUUCUGACUUCAGGAUGGAUGUAGUCAACGGCAGUGGGAAGAUCCACAGCCUAAAGGAACGCCCUGGCGUUGCUCCUUGAAAUCUUCCGGCGGCCGGCAUGCCAGGAUAUUGAAUGAUACAAUGUAAAAGGUUAAGUGCCUUAUUUGAUGCACCCUGACAUUUUCCUUUCUU